Molecule: ribosomal RNA, 791 nt
Filed under: uncultured bacterium
Lineage: Bacteria
Description: bacterial SSU rRNA
Rfam family: Bacterial small subunit ribosomal RNA
Source: RNAcentral
AGAGUUUGAUCCUGGCUCAGAUUGAACGCUGGCGGCAUGCCUUACACAUGCAAGUCGAGCGGCAGCGCGGGGGCAACCCUGGCGGCGAGUGGCGAACGGGUGAGUAAUACAUCGGAACGUGUCCUGGAGUGGGGGAUAGCUCGGCGAAAGCCGGAUUAAUACCGCAUACGCUCUGAGGAGGAAAGCGGGGGAUCUUCGGACCUCGCGCUCAAGGGGCGGCCGAUGGCGGAUUAGCUAGUUGGUGGGGUAAAGGCCUACCAAGGCGACGAUCCGUAGCUGGUCUGAGAGGACGACCAGCCACACUGGGACUGAGACACGGCCCAGACUCCUACGGGAGGCAGCAGUGGGGAAUUUUGGACAAUGGGGGAAACCCUGAUCCAGCAAUGCCGCGUGUGUGAAGAAGGCCUUCGGGUUGUAAAGCACUUUUGUUCGGGAAGAAAUCCUUCGAGCUAAUACCUUGAGGGGAUGACGGUACCGGAAGAAUAAGCACCGGCUAACUACGUGUCAGCAGCCGCGGUAAUACGUAGGGUGCGAGCGUUAAUCGGAAUUACUGGGCGUAAAGCGUGCGCAGGCGGUUCGCUAAGACCGAUGUGAAAUCCCCGGGCUUAACCUGGGAACUGCAUUGGUGACUGGCGGGCUAGAGUAUGGCAGAGGGGGGUAGAAUUCCACGUAGCAGUGAAAUGCGUAGAGAUGUGGAGGAAUACCGAUGGCGAAGGCAGCCCCCUGGGCCAAUACUGACGCUCAUGCACGAAAGCGUGGGGAGCAAACAGAAUUAGAUACCCCCGUAGUCC